AACGCUAGCUACAGGCUUAACACAUGCAAGUCGAGGGGAAACGAUAGAGAAAGCUUGCUUUUUCUAGGCGUCGACCGGCGCACGGGUGAGUAACGCGUAUCCAACCUGCCCAUCACUUGGGGAUAACCUUGCGAAAGUAAGACUAAUACCCAAUGAUAUCUCUAGAAGACAUCUGAAAGAGAUUAAAGAUUUAUCGGUGAUGGAUGGGGAUGCGUCUGAUUAGCUUGUUGGCGGGGUAACGGCCCACCAAGGCGACGAUCAGUAGGGGUUCUGAGAGGAAGGUCCCCCACAUUGGAACUGAGACACGGUCCAAACUCCUACGGGAGGCAGCAGUGAGGAAUAUUGGUCAAUGGACGAGAGUCUGAACCAGCCAAGUAGCGUGCAGGAUGACGGCCCUAUGGGUUGUAAACUGCUUUUAUAAGGGAAUAAAGUGAGAGUCGUGACUCUUUUUGCAUGUACCUUAUGAAUAAGGACCGGCUAAUUCCGUGCCAGCAGCCGCGGUAAUACGGAAGGUCCGGGCGUUAUCCGGAUUUAUUGGGUUUAAAGGGAGCGUAGGCCGGAGAUUAAGCGUGUUGUGAAAUGUAGACGCUCAACGUCUGCACUGCAGCGCGAACUGGUUUCCUUGAGUACGCACAAAGUGGGCGGAAUUCGUGGUGUAGCGGUGAAAUGCUUAGAUAUCACGAAGAACUCCGAUUG
RNAcentral lists this ribosomal RNA (696 nucleotides) under uncultured bacterium. RNAcentral describes it as "bacterial SSU rRNA". It matches the Rfam family "Bacterial small subunit ribosomal RNA", at positions 32 to 715 of the family's 1533-position model. The record is from RNAcentral.